GCCGAUAUUUAAUGAAAAUAAAACUGCAAUGAAACAGAUCAAAUGUUGGAUUUCAUCAGUUUACAGCAAACAAUAUUAAAAAGAAAUGUGCUGGAGAAGAAUCUGCACUAAAGUACAUCCUGGAUACUGGAUGGCUGUGAUUCUCAGGCCUUCAGGAGGCACCACAUCAAAAACAGACAUGACUCUGAAGUGGAAAUCACCGCAUGGACUUAUAAUCACGUGUUAAAGCGAUUUUCAUUAAACACUCGUCACAGGCUGAAACAGAAACAAGCGAAAAGGAAACCAUCGAUAAACAUGAUCCAAAAAAAGCUUUUCUAACUUUAACAGACUGAACAUGUUUUAUUUUCUAUCAAGUAUCUUCAGAAACCAUCUCUGUCCCCUCUCCAGUUCCCCUCACAUCUCCAUGUUCCACCACUUGAAGUCAAACGGUUUCCUGAGGACGUUGGAGCCGCAGUGCAGCUCUCCCAGCAUUUCAUGGUAGGAGGCGAAGUCAUCGAUGAAGGUGCAGCUGAGACCCAGACCCUCCAGCAGGGAGCUCACUUC
Non-coding RNA from Xyrichtys novacula (pearly razorfish), 543 nucleotides. Lineage: Eukaryota; Metazoa; Chordata; Actinopteri; Labriformes; Labridae. The record is from the annotation of a GenBank genome assembly.